CAGGUCAAAGAAUCACUUAUCCAACUUUUACUAGAGAAUCAGUAGUUGACAUGUAAAUAAGACUCCAUCUAAUAUUCUCUUGCAGGUUUAUUCAAGUGAACUCAUUCUCUAAUGAGCACCCAUAUCCUUAUAUUAGUGUCACCACACAAGUGGUUGUGAGAUCAACCACCCUCAUUUCUGAGCAUACAUAGGAUAUGUCAGUCUUACCAGUAUCAUUGAUCUCCGACUCAAUGU
RNAcentral lists this long non-coding RNA (234 nucleotides) under Elaeis guineensis (African oil palm). RNAcentral's name for it is "long non-coding RNA (EGUI_LNC080688)". Lineage: Eukaryota; Viridiplantae; Streptophyta; Magnoliopsida; Arecales; Arecaceae. The record is from RNAcentral.